AUAAGUCACCUUUUUGAAUGAGUAAAUUCAUUGUUACUACUGUAAUUUCUGUUUGUUUUUCAGGAAGAAGAAGAAGAGGAGGAGGAAGACUUAGUGGAUCCCCUGGAAACGAUGCGCGAAAAGUGUGCUGAGAUCGAGCACUGCGUACAUACUCAAGCACGUCUGGAGCAAUGUGAGACCAGAGUGAACGCUCGCUCCUCCACAACGGAAGACUGCACCGAGGAGCUUUUUGACUUCCUCCAUGCUA
Molecule: long non-coding RNA, 247 nt
Organism: Hippocampus comes (tiger tail seahorse)
Lineage: Eukaryota; Metazoa; Chordata; Actinopteri; Syngnathiformes; Syngnathidae
Exons: 2
Source: RefSeq, a predicted model, not a curated record